AAAGCCUCUAAGCAUCAGGUAACAUCAAAUCGUACCCCAAACCGACACAGGUGGUCAGGUAGAGAAUACCAAGGCGCUUGAGAGAACUCGGGUGAAGGAACUAGGCAAAAUGGUGCCGUAACUUCGGGAGAAGGCACGCUGAUAUGUAGGUGAAGUCCCUCGCGGAUGGAGCUGAAAUCAGUCGAAGAUACCAGCUGGCUGCAACUGUUUAUUAAAAACACAGCACUGUGCAAACACGAAAGUGGACGUAUACGGUGUGACGCCUGCCCGGUGCCGGAAGGUUAAUUGAUGGGGUUAGCGGUAACGCGAAGCUCUUGAUCGAAGCCCCGGUAAACGGCGGCCGUAACUAUAACGGUCCUAAGGUAGCGAAAUUCCUUGUCGGGUAAGUUCCGACCUGCACGAAUGGCGUAAUGAUGGCCAGGCUGUCUCCACCCGAGACUCAGUGAAAUUGAACUCGCUGUGAAGAUGCAGUGUACCCGCGGCAAGACGGAAAGACCCCGUGAACCUUUACUAUAGCUUGACACUGAACAUUGAGCCUUGAUGUGUAGGAUAGGUGGGAGGCUUUGAAGUGUGGACGCCAGUCUGCAUGGAGCCGACCUUGAAAUACCACCCUUUAAUGUUUGAUGUUCUAACGUUGGCCCGUAAUCCGGGUUGCGGACAGUGUCUGGUGGGUAGUUUGACUGGGGCGGUCUCCUCCUAAAGAGUAACGGAGGAGCACGAAGGUUGGCUAAUCCUGGUCGGACAUCAGGAGGUUAGUGCAAUGGCAUAAGCCAGCUUGACUGCGAGCGUGACGGCGCGAGCAGGUGCGAAAGCAGGUCAUAGUGAUCCGGUGGUUCUGAAUGGAAGGGCCAUCGCUCAACGGAUAAAAGGUACUCCGGGGAUAACAGGCUGAUACCGCCCAAGAGUUCAUAUCGACGGCGGUGUUUGGCACCUCGAUGUCGGCUCAUCACAUCCUGGGGCUGAAGUAGGUCCCAAGGGUAUGGCUGUUCGCCAUUUAAAGUGGUACGCGAGCUGGGUUUAGAACGUCGUGAGACAGUUCGGUCCCUAUCUGCCGUGGGCGCUGGAGAACUGAGGGGGGCUGCUCCUAGUACGAGAGGACCGGAGUGGACGCAUCACUGGUGUUCGGGUUGUCAUGCCAAUGGCACUGCCCGGUAGCUAAAUGCGGAAGAGAUAAGUGCUGAAAGCAUCUAAGCACGAAACUUGCCCCGAGAUGAGUUCUCCCUGAGACUUAGAGUCUCCUGAAGGAACGUUGAAGACGACGACGUUGAUAGGCCGGGUGUGUAAGCGCAGCGAUGCGUUGAGCUAACCGGUACUAAUGAACCGUGAGGCUUAACCUU
This 1337-nucleotide ribosomal RNA is filed under the name Escherichia coli. RNAcentral describes it as "partial 23S ribosomal RNA". It matches the Rfam family "Bacterial large subunit ribosomal RNA", at positions 1614 to 2925 of the family's 2925-position model. Lineage: Bacteria; Pseudomonadati; Pseudomonadota; Gammaproteobacteria; Enterobacterales; Enterobacteriaceae. The record is from RNAcentral.